This 71-nucleotide transfer RNA is filed under the name Exophiala xenobiotica. RNAcentral describes it as "tRNA-Gly (GCC) (tRNA-Gly-GCC-1-1)". It matches the Rfam family "tRNA". Rfam says of the family: Transfer RNA (tRNA) molecules are approximately 80 nucleotides in length. Their secondary structure includes four short double-helical elements and three loops (D, anti-codon, and T loops). The record is from RNAcentral. Lineage: Eukaryota; Fungi; Ascomycota; Eurotiomycetes; Chaetothyriales; Herpotrichiellaceae.
GCAUUGUUGGUUUAGUGGUAAAAUCCGUCGUUGCCAUCGACGGGCCCCGUGUUCGAUUCACGGACAAUGCA